GAGCAACGCCGCGUGAGGGAUGAAGGCCUCUGGGCUGUAAACCUCUUUUAUCAAGGAAGAAGAUCUGACGGUACUUGAUGAAUAAGCCACGGCUAAUUCCGUGCCAGCAGCCGCGGUAAUACGGGAGUGGCAAGCGUUAUCCGGAAUUAUUGGGCGUAAAGCGUCCGCAGGCGGUCUUGUAAGUCUGUCGUUAAAGCGUGGAGCUUAACUCCAUUUCAGCGAUGGAAACUGUAAGACUAGAGUGUGGUAGGGGCAGAGGGAAUUCCCGGUGUAGCGGUGAAAUGCGUAGAUAUCGGGAAGAACACCAGUGGCGAAGGCGCUCUGCUGGGCCAUAACUGACGCUCAUGGACGAAAGCCAGGGGAGCGAAAGGGAUUAGAUACCCCCGUAGUCCUGGCCGUAAACGAUGAACACUAGGUGUCGGGGGAAUCGACCCCCUCGGUGUCGUAGCCAACGCGUUAAGUGUUCCGCCUGGGAGUACGCACGCAAGUGUGAAACUCAAAGGAAUUGACGGGGGCCCGCACAAGCGGUGGAGUAUGUGGUUUAAUUCGAUGCAACGCGAAGAACCUUACCAGGGUUUGACAUCCUGCGAAUCUCUUGGAAACGAGAGAGUGCCUUCGGGAACGCAGUGACAGGUGGUGCAUGGCUGUCGUCAGCUCGUGUCGUGAGAUGUUGGGUUAAGUCCCGCAACGAGCGCAACCCACGUCGUUAGUUGCCAGCAUUUAGUUGGGCACUCUAGCGAGACCGCCGGCGAUAAACCGGAGGAAGGCGUGGAUGACGUCAAGUCAUCAUGCCCCUUACAUCCUGGGCUACACACGUACUACAAUGCUACGGACAAAGGGCAGCAAACUCGCGAGAGCUAGCAAAUCCCAUAAACCGUGGCUCAGUUCAGAUCGUAGGCUGCAACUCGCCUACGUGAAGGAGGAAUCGCUAGUAAUCGCAGGUCAGCAUACUGCGGUGAAUACGUUCCCGGGCCUUGUACACACCGCCCGUCACACCAUGGAAGUUGGCCACGCCCGAAGCCGUUACUCCAACCCUUGUGGAGGAGGAUGUCGAAGGUGGGGCUGACGACUGGGGUGAAGUCGUAACAAGGUAGCCGUACCGGAAGGUGC
RNAcentral lists this ribosomal RNA (1110 nucleotides) under uncultured cyanobacterium. RNAcentral describes it as "bacterial SSU rRNA". It matches the Rfam family "Bacterial small subunit ribosomal RNA", at positions 389 to 1515 of the family's 1533-position model. Lineage: Bacteria; Bacillati; Cyanobacteriota. The record is from RNAcentral.